ACUCAGCUGACGACCGGCGCACGGGUGCGUAACGCGUAUGCAAUCUACCUCUUACUGAGGGAUAGCCCAUGGAAACGUGGAUUAAUACCUCAUAGUAUUAUAGACUGGCCUCAGUUUAUGAUUAAAGGUUACGGUAAGAGAUGAGCAUGCGUCCUAUUAGCUAGAUGGUAAGGUAACGGCUUACCAUGGCUACGAUAGGUAGGGGUCCUGAGAGGGAGAUCCCCCACACUGGUACUGAGACACGGACCAGACUCCUACGGGAGGCAGCAGUGAGGAAUAUUGGACAAUGGGCGAGAGCCUGAUCCAGCCAUGCCGCGUGCAGGAAGACGGCCCUAUGGGUUGUAAACUGCUUUUACAGAGGAAGAACCCUCCUUACGUGUAAGGAGCUGACGGUACUCUAUGAAUAAGGAUCGGCUAACUCCGUGCCAGCAGCCGCGGUAAUACGGAGGAUCCAAGCGUUAUCCGGAAUCAUUGGGUUUAAAGGGUCCGUAGGCGGGUCUAUAAGUCAGUGGUGAAAGUCUGCAGCUUAACUGUAGAACUGCCAUUGAUACUGUAGACCUUGAAUUAGUAUGAAGUGGUUAGAAUGUGUAGUGUAGCGGUGAAAUGCAUAGAUAUUACACAGAAUACCGAUUGCGAAGGCAGAUCACUAAUACUAUAUUGACGCUGAUGGA
This 671-nucleotide ribosomal RNA is filed under the name Zunongwangia profunda. RNAcentral's name for it is "bacterial SSU rRNA". It matches the Rfam family "Bacterial small subunit ribosomal RNA", at positions 82 to 753 of the family's 1533-position model. Lineage: Bacteria; Pseudomonadati; Bacteroidota; Flavobacteriia; Flavobacteriales; Flavobacteriaceae. The record is from RNAcentral.